CUUCAGCCUUUUACGUCGGGAGGCGUUCGGCUUUGGAUCCUGUUUGUGUAUCUUGUAUGGUGAAAUGAUAAUUGGAACAGAAUUUACUGGUUUAACUAAAAUGCAGAGUAUUCAAAGAUCUUGUUGUGUUGGUAGAUGAAAGUAAGCUUUGAAAACCUGCAGGUUUGCAAGCUUGACCACUUAGGUUUUCCUUACGUCACGGGACACCACGUGCAGCCCUGGGCCCUAAGUCCCAGCACGCCAUGGCCCCCAGCGGGGAAAGGCCCUGUGCAUCUGGUGACUACGGUUAAGAAAGUCGUUAGUUCCAUCGUCGAGGUCAUGUGGUCGUCUUGACUCUACGGUUUGUGAAAACCGCCAGUUCCGUCCGGAUGGAAGCUGAGUUCGUUCCGAUUGAUGGUGGAAAGAUAAAGGUAUCAAGUCCGAAAUGAUUGUGGAUGAAGUCUUACGCAGUGUCCUGCAGAGGAUUCCUAUAUUUUCCAAUCGUAUUUGGUGGAAUGGGUGUUUCCAAUAAUCUGGAAACUAGCAGGGCACCAAUUUUAAAUAUAGGCCAGAGUUUUUAGAGGGGAUCCCUUGAUAAUAAAAUGCUUAACUCAUGCGGAAA
This is a long non-coding RNA of Nycticebus coucang (slow loris), 601 nucleotides long. RefSeq lists it as uncharacterized. Lineage: Eukaryota; Metazoa; Chordata; Mammalia; Primates; Lorisidae. The transcript is spliced from 3 exons. The record is from RefSeq and is a predicted model, not a curated record.